Molecule: ribosomal RNA, 250 nt
Filed under: uncultured bacterium
Lineage: Bacteria
Description: partial 16S ribosomal RNA
Rfam family: Bacterial small subunit ribosomal RNA
Source: RNAcentral
ACGGGUGAGUAAUGUCUGGGAAACUGCCUGAUGGAGGGGGAUAACUACUGGAAACGGUAGCUAAUACCGCAUAACGUCGCAAGACCAAAGAGGGGGACCUUCGGGCCUCUUGCCAUCGGAUGUGCCCAGAUGGGAUUAGCUAGUAGGUGGGGUAACAGCUCACCUAGGCGACAAUCCCUAGCUGGUCUGAGAGGAUGACCAGCCACACUGGAACUGAGACACGGUCCAGACUCCUACGGGAGGCAGCAUG